UCUGUGUGUGUGGUGUGUGUGUGUAUGUAUGUAUGUAUGUAUGUAUACACACACACACACACACAGA
Molecule: non-coding RNA, 67 nt
Organism: Podarcis lilfordi (Lilford's wall lizard)
Lineage: Eukaryota; Metazoa; Chordata; Lepidosauria; Squamata; Lacertidae
Source: the annotation of a GenBank genome assembly